Molecule: long non-coding RNA, 939 nt
Filed under: Citrus sinensis (sweet orange)
Lineage: Eukaryota; Viridiplantae; Streptophyta; Magnoliopsida; Sapindales; Rutaceae
Description: long non-coding RNA (CSIN_LNC001651)
Source: RNAcentral
UAUUCACAGGUGUUGUCACUAAUUUUCAUUCACGAUAAACACAUGUGAGAGGUCUAGAAAUCCAUAUCAACAACUCAAAACUUACAAUCCAGCCACUUAAUAUAAAGGCACCAAGUAGGAUUUUUAGUACGAAAUGACUUAUUAUUAUUAUUAUAAGAGAAUAGAAAAAAAAAAAAAAACCCCCAUAAGAAAUGAGCAGAAUUUAACCUGGUGGUAAUUUUCUUUCACAUAGACAUUGAGUUAAAUUCUUUUCUAAUUUUUAAACAGCUCAUAAACUUUGACUUGAAAAAUUGAAACUUGUAUAUAUAUAUAGACACACACACACACCGUGUGAACCCAAGAUUAUUGGAGCUAAUCGUUCCCAGCCUAUAGUGACUAAAUUUACAAGUUUACAACUAUAUACAACAACCCACUAUAGCCAUUGACCCAACACCGGCCGGCUAGCUGGCUCGUGCCCGCCGGCGCACCGGCAUGUCGAUCAUUGGUGGUGGGACAUGUGUACGUAUAUAAUAUGGCUAAUAUGGCGCACGUGCACUAUCACUAUUCACCACUGCAGAGUAGAAGUAAUCUUUAUAAUGGCUCCAAAUAUGUGAUUAGGCUUCAUACAGCAAGCUGCCAUUCUGUGCCUUCUCCACUUGUUGCUUGGCCUCUCUUUAUCUAUAUUUGCAAAGCUCAUCUUAUGUAUUUGUUGCAUAUGGAAAUUCUAGCGACGUGAGACCCACUUUAACAAAAAUAAUUCAAAUCCUUCCAUUAUUGUCAACAAAAACGCGUACGUUCUUCAUUUCAUUAAUCCUCUAGAAUGGUCUCUUCAAUAAAUUAUUGCUAAUAAUUUAUUCAUAUUUUAUUAUUUUUGUUUGAUUCAUACUCAUCGUCGGUACUAGAAAUUAAAAAAAUAAAAACAUGGUGAAUACUGUCCUGGCGGUAUGAUCAGAUGAUUCC